Molecule: small nuclear RNA, 106 nt
Organism: Nycticebus coucang (slow loris)
Lineage: Eukaryota; Metazoa; Chordata; Mammalia; Primates; Lorisidae
Source: RefSeq, a predicted model, not a curated record
GUGCUUGCUUCGGCAGCACAUAUACUAAAAUGGAACAAUACAGAGAAGAUUAGCAUGGCUCCUGCACAAAGAUGACAUGCAAAUUCAUGAAGCAUUCUAUAUUUUU